UACGGAGGGGGCUAGCGUUGUUCGGAAUUACUGGGCGUAAAGCGCACGUAGGCGGCUUCGCAAGUCAGAGGUGAAAGCCCGGGGCUCAACCCCGGAACUGCCUUUGAGACUGCGUGGCUCGAAUCCGGGAGAGGCGGGUGGAAUUCCUGGUGUAGAGGUGAAAUUCGCAGAUAUUAGGAAGAACACCGGUGGCGAAGGCGGGCCGCUGGACCGGUAUUGACGCUGAGGUGCGAAAGCGUGGGGAGCAAACAGG
RNAcentral lists this ribosomal RNA (253 nucleotides) under uncultured bacterium. RNAcentral describes it as "partial 16S ribosomal RNA". It matches the Rfam family "Bacterial small subunit ribosomal RNA", at positions 524 to 776 of the family's 1533-position model. The record is from RNAcentral.